CCUACGGGUGGCUGCAGCAAGGAAUCUUCCGCAAUGGGCGCAAGCCUGACGGAGCAACGCCGCGUGCGGGAGGACGCCCUUCGGGGUGUAAACCGCUUUUCCGGGGGAAGAAGGCUGGGUCCGUGAGGAUGCAGCUUGACGGUACCCCGGGAAGAAGGCCCGGCUAACUACGUGCCAGCAGCCGCGGUAAGACGUAGGGGCCGAGCGUUGUCCGGAGUUACUGGGCGUAAAGGGCCCGCAGGCGGCGCGAUGCGCCCGGCGUGAAAGCCCCCGGC
Molecule: ribosomal RNA, 275 nt
Filed under: uncultured bacterium
Lineage: Bacteria
Description: partial 16S ribosomal RNA
Rfam family: Bacterial small subunit ribosomal RNA
Source: RNAcentral